GCUUUACCAUGCAGUCGAACGGCAGCGCGGGGCAACCUGGCGGCGAGUGGCGAACGGGUGAGUAAUACAUCGGAACGUGCCCUGUGAUGGGGGAUAACUACGCGAAAGCGUAGCUAAUACCGCAUACGACCUAAGGGUGAAAGUGGGGGAUCGAAAGACCUCACGUCAUAGGAGCGGCCGAUGGCGGAUUAGCUAGUUGGUGAGGUAAAGGCUUACCAAGGCGACGAUCCGUAGCUGGUCUGAGAGGACGACCAGCCACACUGGGACUGAGACACGGCCCAGACUCCUACGGGAGGCAGCAGUGGGGAAUCUUGGACAAUGGGGGCAACCCUGAUCCAGCAAUGCCGCGUGUGGGAUGAAGGCCUUCGGGUUGUAAACCACUUUUGGCGGGGGCGAAAUAUCGAAUGAUAAUACCAUUCGGUGAUGACGGUACCCGCAGAAUAAGCACCGGCUAACUACGUGCCAGCAGCCCGGGGUAA
This 479-nucleotide ribosomal RNA is filed under the name uncultured Thiomonas sp. RNAcentral's name for it is "bacterial SSU rRNA". It matches the Rfam family "Bacterial small subunit ribosomal RNA", at positions 46 to 523 of the family's 1533-position model. Lineage: Bacteria; Pseudomonadati; Pseudomonadota; Betaproteobacteria; Burkholderiales. The record is from RNAcentral.